Molecule: transfer RNA, 90 nt
Filed under: Pelotomaculum schinkii
Lineage: Bacteria; Bacillati; Bacillota; Clostridia; Eubacteriales; Desulfotomaculaceae
Also listed under: 1 other name
Description: tRNA-Ser
Rfam family: tRNA
About the family: Transfer RNA (tRNA) molecules are approximately 80 nucleotides in length. Their secondary structure includes four short double-helical elements and three loops (D, anti-codon, and T loops). Further hydrogen bonds mediate the characteristic L-shaped molecular structure. tRNAs have two regions of fundamental functional importance: the anti-codon, which is responsible for specific mRNA codon recognition, and the 3' end, to which the tRNAs corresponding amino acid is attached (by aminoacyl-tRNA synthetases). tRNAs cope with the degeneracy of the genetic code in two manners: having more than one tRNA (with a specific anti-codon) for a particular amino acid; and 'wobble' base-pairing, i.e. permitting non-standard base-pairing at the 3rd anti-codon position.
Source: RNAcentral
GGAGGGGUGUCCGAGCGGUUGAAGGAGGCGGUCUUGAAAACCGUUGGAUCUUCACGGGUCCCGUGGGUUCGAAUCCCACCCCCUCCGCCA